Molecule: long non-coding RNA, 541 nt
Filed under: Pongo abelii (Sumatran orangutan)
Lineage: Eukaryota; Metazoa; Chordata; Mammalia; Primates; Hominidae
Description: lincRNA
Source: RNAcentral
AUGUUGCAUCCUGUUAGCCAGGUUCCUAGUUCAGUUUAGCUGGUGUGCAGGUCAAGGACUCUUAAGGAUUGAAUUGCAUCCCUUCAAAAGAUAUUGAAGUCCUAACCCCCAGAAUCUGUGACUGUGACCUUAUUUGGAAAUGGCUCUUUGCAGAUACAAUCAAGUUAAGAUGAGGUCAUAUUAGAUUAAAGUGGUCUGCUAUUCAAUAACUGACCUCUUUAAUGAAAAGGGAAAUUUGAACUGAGAAACAUGGAGGGAAAUGCUAUGUGAAGAUGGAGGCAGAGAUUGGAGCAAUUUGGAGCAAUGUGUAUGUCUGCAAGCCAAGGAACACCAAGUAUUGCCAGCCAUCACCAGAGCUGGAGGAGGGGCCUGGAACAGAUUCCCACUAGAGCCCCCAAAAGGAUCCAACCCUGCUGACACUUUGACUUUAGACUUGGGGCCUUCAGAACUGUGAGAGAAUAAAUUUCUGUUGUUUUGAGCCACUCAGAGUGUGGUAUUUUGCUACAGAAGCCCUUGGAUCCUAAUAAAGACAUUAAUAGCU